GCCUUUGUCCCGGAUUUUAUUGGGGCGUAAAAGCGAGCGCCGGGCGGUUUUUUAAAGUCUGAAUGUGAAAAGCCUUCGGGCUCAACCGAAGGAAGUGCAUCGGAAAACUGGGAAACUUGAGUGCAGAAGAAGGACAGUGGAACUCCAUGUGUAGCGGUGAAAUGCGUAGAUAUAUGGAAGAACACCAGUGGCGAAGGCGGCUGUCUGGUCUGUAACUGACGCUGAGGCUCGAAAGUAUGGGUAGCAAACAGGAUUAGAUACCCUGGUAGUCCAUACCGUAAACGAUGAAUGCUAAGUGUUGGAGGGUUUCCGCCCUUCAGUGCUGCAGCUAACGCAUUAAGCAUUCCGCCUGGGGAGUACGGCCGCAAGGCUGAAACUCAAAGGAAUUGACGGGGGCCCGCACAAGCGGUGGAGCAUGUGGUUUAAUUCGAAGCUACGCGAAGAACCUUACCAGGUCUUGACAUACUAUGCAAAUCUAAGAGAUUAGACGUUCCCUUCGGGGACAUGGAUACAGGUGGUGCAUGGUUGUCGUCAGCUCGUGUCGUGAGAUGUUGGGUUAAGUCCCGCAACGAGCGCAACCCUUAUUAUCAGUUGCCAGCAUUAAGUUGGGCACUCUGGUGAGACUGCCGGUGACAAACCGGAGGAAGGUGGGGAUGACGUCAAAUCAUCAUGCCCCUUAUGACCUGGGCUACACACGUGCUACAAUGGAUGGUACAACGAGUUGCGAACUCGCGAGAGUAAGCUAAUCUCUUAAAGCCAUUCUCAGUUCGGAUUGUAGGCUGCAACUCGCCUACAUGAAGUCGGAAUCGCUAGUAAUCGCGGAUCAGCAUGCCGCGGUGAAUACGUUCCCGGGCCUUGUACACACCGCCCGUCACACCAUGAGAGUUUGUAACACCCAAAGUCGGUGGGGUAACCUUUAGGAACCAGCCGCCUAAGUGACAGAGAUGGAG
RNAcentral lists this ribosomal RNA (950 nucleotides) under Lactiplantibacillus plantarum. RNAcentral's name for it is "bacterial SSU rRNA". It matches the Rfam family "Bacterial small subunit ribosomal RNA", at positions 537 to 1478 of the family's 1533-position model. The record is from RNAcentral. Lineage: Bacteria; Bacillati; Bacillota; Bacilli; Lactobacillales; Lactobacillaceae.